RNAcentral lists this small RNA (107 nucleotides) under Marmota monax (woodchuck). Lineage: Eukaryota; Metazoa; Chordata; Mammalia; Rodentia; Sciuridae. The record is from RNAcentral.
GCUGGGUGUGGUGGUGCACACCUGUGACCCCAGCUACUUGGGAGGCUGAGGCAGGAGGAGUGCAAGUUCGAGGCCAGCCUCCACAACCUAGUAAGACCCUGUCUCAA